AACAAUCCUCUGCAGAUGAUUGAAAUAGGAACGUUUGAUAACCUAACCAACCUCCAAGAGUUGGAUAUUCGAAACACACUGAUAUUUGAAUCAGGCGAUACUGAAUUUGGCGCGUUCACAGGCUUACAUAAUCUAGAAACCUUGUAUGCUGACAAAUACCUUAUUUGCUGCCUGGCGGGUUUAGGGGAUUCCCCUAACUGCAAUGCACCACGUGACCAGUUCUCGUCGUGUGAAGAUCUCAUGGCCAAUAACAUCCUUCGAAUCUUUAUCUGGAUU
RNAcentral lists this long non-coding RNA (276 nucleotides) under Strongylocentrotus purpuratus (purple sea urchin). Its description in RNAcentral is "uncharacterized LOC115922830". Lineage: Eukaryota; Metazoa; Echinodermata; Echinoidea; Camarodonta; Strongylocentrotidae. The record is from RNAcentral.